AUGGACUCAGGAUGAACGCUGGCGGCGUGCUUAACACAUGCAAGUCGAACGGAGUUUUUAACGGAAGUUUCGGAUGGAAGUUUAGAACUUAGUGGCGGACGGGUGAGUAACGCGUGGGUAACCUGCCUCAUACAGGGGGAUAACAGUUAGAAAUGACUGCUAACACCGCAUAAUAUAGCGAAACCGCAUGAUUUUUGCUAUCAAAUAUUUAUAGGUAUGAGAUGGGCCCGCGUCUGAUUAGCUAGUUGGUGGGGUAAAAGCCUACCAAGGCGACGAUCAGUAGCCGGCUUGAGAGAGUGACCGGCCACAUUGGGACUGAGACACGGCCCAAACUCCUACGGGAGGCAGCAGUGGGGAAUACUGGACAAUGGGGGAAACCCUGAUCCAGCGAACCGCCGCGUGAGUGAAGAAGUAUUUCGGUAUGUAAAGCUCUAUCAGCAGGGAAGAUAAUGACAGUACCUGACUAAGAAGCCCCGGCUAACUACGUGCCAGCCGCUGC
Molecule: ribosomal RNA, 499 nt
Filed under: uncultured bacterium
Lineage: Bacteria
Description: bacterial SSU rRNA
Rfam family: Bacterial small subunit ribosomal RNA
Source: RNAcentral